RNAcentral lists this ribosomal RNA (432 nucleotides) under uncultured bacterium. RNAcentral's name for it is "partial 16S ribosomal RNA". It matches the Rfam family "Bacterial small subunit ribosomal RNA", at positions 29 to 506 of the family's 1533-position model. The record is from RNAcentral.
AACGAACGCUGGCGGCAUGCCUAACACAUGCAAGUCGAACGAGACCUUCGGGUCUAGUGGCGCACGGGUGCGUAACGCGUGGGAACCUGCCCUUAGGUUCGGAAUAACUCCCCGAAAGGGGUGCUAAUACCGGAUAAUGUCUUCGGACCAAAGAUUUAUCGCCUUUGGAUGGGCCCGCGUUGGAUUAGCUAGUUGGUAGGGUAAAAGCCUACCAAGGCGACGAUCCAUAGCUGGUCUGAGAGGAUGAUCAGCCACACUGGGACUGAGACACGGCCCAGACUCCUGCGGGAGGCAGCAGUGGGGCAUAUUGGACAAUGGGCGAAAGCCUGAUCCAGCAAUGCCGCGUGAGUGAUGAAGGCCUUAGGGUUGUAAAGCUCUUUUACCCGGGAUGAUAAUGACAGUACCGGGAGAAUAAGCUCCGGCUAACUCCGU